GACAGAGGGUGCAAGCGUUGUUCGGAAUCAUUGGGCGUAAAGCGCACGUAGGCGGUCGUGUAAGUCGGAUGUGAAAGCCCUGGGCUCAACCCAGGAAGUGCAUCCGAUACUGCACGACUUGAGUCCCGGAGAGGGUGGUGGAAUUCCUGGUGUAGAGGUGAAAUUCGUAGAUAUCAGGAGGAACACCGGUGGCGAAGGCGACCACCUGGACGGAGACUGACGCUGAGGUGCGAAAGCGUGGGGAGCAAACAGG
This 253-nucleotide ribosomal RNA is filed under the name uncultured bacterium. RNAcentral describes it as "partial 16S ribosomal RNA". It matches the Rfam family "Bacterial small subunit ribosomal RNA", at positions 524 to 776 of the family's 1533-position model. The record is from RNAcentral.